This 314-nucleotide ribosomal RNA is filed under the name uncultured bacterium. RNAcentral describes it as "bacterial SSU rRNA". It matches the Rfam family "Bacterial small subunit ribosomal RNA", at positions 28 to 334 of the family's 1533-position model. The record is from RNAcentral.
GAUGAACGCUAGCGGCAGGCUUAACACAUGCAAGUCGAGGGGCAGCGAGUAGAUUGCUUGCAAUCUACGUCGGCGACCGGCGGACGGGUGCGUAACGCGUAUGCAACCUACCCAUUACAGGGGGAUAACACUGAGAAAUCGGUACUAAUACCCCAUAACAUCCAGGGAGGCAUCUUCUUGGGUUGAAAACUCCGGUGGUAAUGGAUGGGCAUGCGUUGUAUUAGUUAGUUGGUGGGGUAACGGCUCACCAAGACAACGAUACAUAGGGGGACUGAGAGGUUAACCCCCCACAUUGGUACUGAGACACGGACCAA